This is a long non-coding RNA of Plodia interpunctella (Indianmeal moth), 899 nucleotides long. RefSeq lists it as uncharacterized. The record is from RefSeq and is a predicted model, not a curated record. The transcript is spliced from 4 exons. NCBI's taxonomy places the organism in Eukaryota, Metazoa, Arthropoda, Insecta, Lepidoptera, Pyralidae.
UAAUCAUUAUUAUAAUAGUACCUUUAAGUUAAACAUCGUCAGAUAAUAUGACAGCUAAAAUAAGUACACGAUCGAUGCAUACUUAAAUCUAAGUAAAUUUCGAAAAAAUGUCGAUUGGCCCAAAUAGACUUUCCACCAUCUACUCUGUGAUUCCUCUAGAAACUCGAUAUCUACAAGUAGAUAAAAUUAAUUAUAUCUUAUCUGUACCGAAUUGCGAUACCCCGCAGUUUUGAUUCGAAAUAGGAAUAUCAUCAGCCAGAUUUGCGAUAUCAACCGGAACUCCUGUAUGAACAUUAUAGAUAAAUAUUACGUCGUCUACGAAGAACACGUUGAUUGGGGGUUUGAUUAUCAUGAAAUUAAAUAAAACAAACAACGCGUGUGGUGCAGGCGUUGCAGACGUCCAUAGGAUGCAGUGACCUCUUCCUAUCAGAUCCACUAAACUGCUCUCAGAGUCUCAACAUCGACGGAGCUGGUACCACCUCCUCUACUUUCGACUAUUAUCCUCUAUACCAUCAUACUCAGCCUAGUACUGACCGAACCAUCCAAGUCCUUCAGAUGUUAUGAAUCUCUAUUCUACCUAUAUCGGCUAUCAACUGGCUCCAAAAUUUAACACCGGCCUGAUUCAUCCCAUAUGAGCGGAAACUCAAUAAGAAUGACUUCAACAUCAUCAGUGGUAAAAAACGUUGUUCGACUGGCGUCAUUUCCGAACGACUGCGUCUCCAAUAUACAAUGAUUCCGUGCCCCUUAUUGUGGCUGGGGAGAAUUCCUGUGGUUGAUGCCAGCUACACGCUAUCGACACUAAUGAAAGAAAGUAUUUUAGAACACAUUGCGUAGUUUGCGUGUUCAAUCAACAACCAUUAAUGUAUGUCGAUAUCGUAAAAAUUUGGCGAACUGUUUGC